This 505-nucleotide ribosomal RNA is filed under the name uncultured bacterium. Its description in RNAcentral is "bacterial SSU rRNA". It matches the Rfam family "Bacterial small subunit ribosomal RNA", at positions 1 to 507 of the family's 1533-position model. The record is from RNAcentral.
CGUAGUUGAUCCGUGGCUCAGGACGAACGCUGGCGGCGUGCCUAACACAUGCAGGUCGAGCGGAGCCAUCCAAACAAUCCCUUCGGGGGUGCGUUUGGUGAAGCUUAGCGGCGGACGGGUGAGUAACGCGUGAGUAACCUGCCCAUAAGAGGGGGGAUAACACAGAGAAAUUUGUGCUAAUACCGCAUAUUGAAUAUUGAAGGCAUCUUCGAUAUUUGAAAGAUUUAUCGCUUAUGGAUGGACUCGCGUCCGAUUAGCUAGUUGGUGAGGUAGAGGCUCACCAAGGCGACGAUCGGUAGCCGAACUGAGAGGUUGAUCGGCCACAUUGGGACUGAGACACGGCCCAGACUCCUACGGGAGGCAGCAGUGGGGGAUAUUGCGCAAUGGGGGAAACCCUGACGCAGCAACGCCGCGUGAAGGAAGAAGGUUUUCGGAUUGUAAACUUCUGUUCUUAGGGAAGAAGACAGUGACGGUACCUAAGGAGCAAGCCACGGCUAACUACGUG